This 496-nucleotide ribosomal RNA is filed under the name uncultured bacterium. RNAcentral describes it as "partial 16S ribosomal RNA". It matches the Rfam family "Bacterial small subunit ribosomal RNA", at positions 29 to 507 of the family's 1533-position model. The record is from RNAcentral.
AUGCACGCUGGCGGCGUGCCUAAUACAUGCAAGUCGAGCGAACGGACGAGAAGCUUGCUUCUCUGAUGUUAGCGGCGGACGGGUGAGUAACACGUGGAUAACCUACCUAUAAGACUGGGAUAACUUCGGGAAACCGGAGCUAAUACCGGAUAAUAUUUUGAACCGCAUGGUUCAAAAGUGAAAGACGGUCUUGCUGUCACUUAUAGAUGGAUCCGCGCUGCAUUAGCUAGUUGGUAAGGUAACGGCUUACCAAGGCAACGAUGCAUAGCCGACCUGAGAGGGUGAUCGGCCACACUGGAACUGGGCCACGGUCCAGACUCCUACAGGAGGCAGCAGUAGAGAAUCUUCCGCCAUGGGCGAAAGCCUGACGGAGCAACGCCGCGUGAGUGAUGAAGGUCUUCGGAUCGUAAAACUCUGUUAUUAGGGAAGAACAUAUGUGUAAGUAACUGUGCACAUCUUGACGGUACCUAAUCAGAAAGCCACGGCUAACUACGUG